UUGUGAUCUGCCCGCCUUGGCCUCCCAAAGUGUUGGGAUUACAAGUGUAAGCCACCGCACCCGGUUCAAAUAUUUUCUUUGUAUUACAUCUACAUUCACUUUAUAAAUGCUUGUCCCUCAUCCUUCUUCAGCAAAGCCUCCUUCUGGUUUGGUGCUGCCUGAUUCAUGAAUCACUGUUUGCUCAAAUAAACUCCUUAAAAAAAAAAAAAAAUUGCAUUGUGCCUCAGUUUACCUUUUUAAAAUGGGGUAUCCAUACUGUAAAAUGCUUAUGAUUGGGUCCUUUAUCUCCACUCAUUUCCCAGUAUGCCCUUGCAAAGAGCUGGGCACAUAACGGAGCUGCCAAGCUCUAUAGCCACUAGUGAAUGGAAGCCCUCAGUUUACAGAGAGGAUCGAAGACUAGCCUCAGGCACAGCACAAGAGAGGCUGCAUGGCAAGGAUUCUGCCUCUGUGAGUAAACAGAAACAUUCCAGCGGAAACUCUGGGCUAUUUUCCCUUUGUACCAGAGAAAUCUGUCAAAUUCCUUCAUUUUCAGGUAGAAAGCAUAAACUUAGCUAAAUCUUUUUUUUGUUUUUUUUCCAAUUAAAUACUUUCUUUUACCAGAAUCCCAAUAGGUCAAGGGACAGUUUGUUUCUGCCUUCUGAAGGCACUAGAGGUGGCCUCUUACCAGAAGGCCCACGUGACUGAGGGUCUGGUUACCUGGGUCCUAGGUCUGCCUCUAACUAACUUUGUGUUCUACGCACGUCACGUUCUGCUCUCCUGUGGACUCAGUUGCCUCAUCUGUAAAAUGAACAGAUUGGGCUACGGUCCAUAAUAGAGUUCUUAGCCUGAGACUGCUUCAUGGGUGGUGACUGUGUAUACAGGUUCCUGGGGAGGGGUUGUACAAUCCGUCAGACUCUCAGAGGGGGAACUGUGACCUUUCAAUGUAAAAAUCAACUGGAUUGCACCCUCUUUGAGGUCUUUUCAGGGCCAACAGUUGGUUCUGAA
Molecule: long non-coding RNA, 984 nt
Filed under: Homo sapiens (human)
Lineage: Eukaryota; Metazoa; Chordata; Mammalia; Primates; Hominidae
Description: HSALNT0097580
Source: RNAcentral